RNAcentral lists this long non-coding RNA (1222 nucleotides) under Cyanistes caeruleus (blue tit). RNAcentral describes it as "lncRNA (ENSCCEG00000018026.1)". The record is from RNAcentral. Lineage: Eukaryota; Metazoa; Chordata; Aves; Passeriformes; Paridae.
AUGGAGAGGACAGGGAGGGAUUUCUGGAGGUUUAGACAUGCUCCAGCAGCACAGCAAGCCUUUUCCUUCUAUACUAAGCAAGGAACAGGAGGAGGUAGCCUUUCAGGUAUUAAAUUGCUUGAGAGCAUCAGCACAGAGCAGCUUGAGGAACAGCCACAGAAUCUUAAAUUACUGUUACUGGGCUUUUUUUUCAGCCUGCAGGAGCUCAGGUUUCUUAUCUGACCAAUGCUUUUUCUUCAAAGGAGAGUAGGGUUUGCAGUGCCCGUCCUUGGGGAGCAGCCUUUACUUUCUGCAGGACAAGGGGACAGCAACACAAGGCACCUUCAAACGCAGAAAAGUCUCUGCUGAGCCCACCUCAUUCAUAUGCUCUGCAGACAAAAUAGUCAUGACAAAUUCCUCCACGUUGCAGGAUGAGCCCAAAGAAAAUUUGAGGGAUCCUGAAGAAGUCCUGCAGCUCCCAGUUUGUUCUGUUUGGAAGAAAGGGUUUGGAACACUAUCUAUCACUGACCUUGUAGAGAUCUCCUCUCUGUUUGUACUCAGCUGAGUUCAGACUCAGUCUCUACUACUAAGUGCUUGGGAGAAUGUUUCAGGCCAAACCACACUUCCUACUUUGCUGAGGAUUAAAAAAAAAACAAAACAAGAGGAAAAAAAAUUGACCAUACUUCUCUUUCUGGUUAUUUUUUCUAGAGUUUUUACUGAAACACGACCUGCUGGCUCUCAACAGCUUUUUGUUUGAUCAAGGCAGCUAGACAACCAGAACCAUGGUGAAAUCCUUGUGAAAUCCAUGUGUUCCAUGCCAUGUCGGAAGCAACUGUUGUCGUGUGGAAUCCCAAAGGAGCAGAAAUAGAAGGGUUUCCCUCAGGCAGAGAAGAUAAAUGGGUACUAUGCUCACUUUGUGUUUAAAGCUGCAGUGAGUAUGUAACUUUCUGUACUGAGGGGAAUGUUACAGCUGCUUGACAGAUUCACACAGUGAGAAAGUGGAAAUGUAAGGAGAAAAUGUGCUAUUUGCAUUUCUAAGUAAAAUGUCCAUUGAGAGCCUGAACACAAAUAUGGAUCAAUAGGAAGACUUCUACCCUGUCCCAUGGGUUUUGCAUGACAUUCUAGACCUAAUUUACUCCCCUAAGGUUGGGAUGCAUUCCCCAGAGGAAAGGAUAUGAUUUAAGUGUAUUUAGGCAAGGAGUAAAGGUAAUAGUGAGGAUAACAGCUAUGAGAAGGAAGAACA